GGCCCGGCUCCGGGUCUCGGCCCGCACGGUCCGGCCGGCCAUGCUGGCGGGGCUGGGGCCCAGGCCGAGCCCGCGGCUGGGCC
Molecule: microRNA precursor, 83 nt
Organism: Capra hircus (goat)
Lineage: Eukaryota; Metazoa; Chordata; Mammalia; Artiodactyla; Bovidae
Source: Ensembl